Molecule: long non-coding RNA, 206 nt
Organism: Ictalurus furcatus (blue catfish)
Lineage: Eukaryota; Metazoa; Chordata; Actinopteri; Siluriformes; Ictaluridae
Exons: 3
Source: RefSeq, a predicted model, not a curated record
UGACCGCUGUUUUCUCAUGCUGUCUCUAAGGGACUGAUGCGGCUAAUGGUCUUGCUGUUGGAUAUUCAUUGUUGUUUGAUGAAUGUCACCAUGUGAAUGUGACAACUUCCUAGUGAUAGAUUGUGAAUGUGGCAGUGUAAAGAAUGCAACUAGCUAGACGGUAUUUGUUGCUGCAGCAUUUUAGACAGUGUGUUUUAGGGGCAGUU